Molecule: ribosomal RNA, 538 nt
Filed under: Salmonella enterica
Lineage: Bacteria; Pseudomonadati; Pseudomonadota; Gammaproteobacteria; Enterobacterales; Enterobacteriaceae
Description: bacterial SSU rRNA
Rfam family: Bacterial small subunit ribosomal RNA
Source: RNAcentral
ACCUUCGGGCCUCUUGCCAUCAGAUGUGCCCAGAUGGGAUUAGCUUGUUGGUGAGGUAACGGCUCACCAAGGCGACGAUCCCUAGCUGGUCUGAGAGGAUGACCAGCCACACUGGAACUGAGACACGGUCCAGACUCCUACGGGAGGCAGCAGUGGGGAAUAUUGCACAAUGGGCGCAAGCCUGAUGCAGCCAUGCCGCGUGUAUGAAGAAGGCCUUCGGGUUGUAAAGUACUUUCAGCGGGGAGGAAGGUGUUGUGGUUAAUAACCGCAGCAAUUGACGUUACCCGCAGAAGAAGCACCGGCUAACUCCGUGCCAGCAGCCGCGGUAAUACGGAGGGUGCAAGCGUUAAUCGGAAUUACUGGGCGUAAAGCGCACGCAGGCGGUCUGUCAAGUCGGAUGUGAAAUCCCCGGGCUCAACCUGGGAACUGCAUUCGAAACUGGCAGGCUUGAGUCUUGUAGAGGGGGGUAGAAUUCCAGGUGUAGCGGUGAAAUGCGUAGAGAUCUGGAGGAAUACCGGUGGCGAAGGCGGCCCCCUGG